GCACUCAGCCUGUCCUGCUUCGUGGGGAGAAGCGAGCGGACCGGGUCGGGGGACAUGGUGGAGGAGGAGACGCCUUCUGCGAAGCCUCUGUCUCCCUGCAGGCUCUUGACCACUCCCGUCCACAGCAGUGGCCAGCCCUGCACAGCCAGACAAGCGCGGCCAGACAGAGCAACCGGGAGAAGGGAGCGAUUAUUGAUGGCAGCCGUGAAGGGGAGUUGCCGUGCGCUGCAGGAUGGGAGCGUGGCGACGGAAUUCACCUGGGGCUCCUCGUGCCUGCGUCCAGAGAAGCUGACCCAGGAAACAUUGCCCCGCACCUGGCUUACCCCCAGACCACCCGCCAGCCGGGCCACAGCUGCCCUCAGCCAGCGCCAUCCCAGGAGGGCCUGGCUGCAGCUUGGGGUCCGAGGAAGCAGCCACCCAGCGGAGGGCAGAGCCCUGCCACCCCACGCCCAGCAGGUUAAAAACCCUUUCCUGCUCCCCAUCGCCCUCGGGAUAAAGUCCAAACUCCUAAGAAAACUGGCCAGGCCCUCCCUUCCUGCCCUGAGUCAUCUCCCUCCUGCCGGCACCCAGCCCUGCCCACAAAGCUGCCCGAUCCUGGGCAGACGGCAGCUCUGGACCACUGUCCACACCGGCCACUCCACAUUCCACCGAAGGCCCGGCCCCACCGUGGCCUCUGUGGGCAGCUGGCUGACUGCUCCCAACACGCACGCCCCAAAGCCGGGUGAGCCUCCUCUGCCGCACCAGUAGCCCACACCCUCCCGGUGCCUCCGGGAGUCCUGCUCCCUGGAUGUCCCCACCGGCCUGAGAGCCCGUCAAGGCUGGGGACCUGGGCGUGGGAUCACCAACUUUCCAUUGCCCUACCUGGGACAUUGUGGGAGCUCACGAUACUCAUGGAGUGGGGGCAAGGAAGGAAGUAUGGUGUUGUUUUCACGGGGCUGGCUUCCUCUCUGAGCCUGGGGAUGGGCUCUCAGGGUCCCUAUUUACAUCUCAGAAGUUUUGUACUUACGAAAACACCCUUUCCCUUUCGGGGCCUCAGCUUGCCCAUCAGUACAAUGGGUCUCCAGUCCCUGAGUCGGGUAUGUUCUCUGAGAAAGCCUUUUAGGGUUUGCUUUGGGGAAAACCCAGAGACAGCACUGAGAAAGUCUCCAGGGGAUUUGAACUCCCUCCUCCAUCACUCCCAGCCUGCCCCGUCCUUGCUGGUCACCAGCCCCAGAGCCCCCUUCAGGGCGCCCCCAUCCUCAGGUCGAUGAUGACUGCUGGCAUUUGUUUCUCCCACUGACGAGAGUCCACGCCCCCCAGAGGAGCCACGUCUGAGCUUAAAAAAAAACAAAAACUGCCCAGAGAAAAGGGGCUGCCCUGGAAACACGGUCGCCCGGGAGGAGAGUCAGACUUAUCUGCCUACAGGGGGCCAGCCUCAGCAUCCCGCCUCCCCGGGAUGCGCAGCGUCACCCUCACAGGCAGGAUGGGAAGGUGAGCCCCAGCCCACACCCUGUUGACGAGCCAAAGGAGACGGCGUUCCUCCUCGCCACGGGCGUGGACCUCCACUCACCGCCCCUGGGGACACCCGCUCCUGGUGGGCCCCUGUUGGCCACUUUCCCCGCCUCCUGCUUCCAGGCGGUGCUGGCCACAUGUGGGACCUGCUGGGCACCUCUGCCAGCAC
Long non-coding RNA from Bos taurus (domestic cattle), 1660 nucleotides. NCBI's taxonomy places the organism in Eukaryota, Metazoa, Chordata, Mammalia, Artiodactyla, Bovidae. The record is from Ensembl.